RNAcentral lists this small nucleolar RNA (215 nucleotides) under Cercocebus atys (sooty mangabey). Its description in RNAcentral is "Small nucleolar RNA U3 (ENSCATG00000001208.1)". It matches the Rfam family "Small nucleolar RNA U3". Rfam says of the family: Small nucleolar RNAs (snoRNAs) are involved in the processing and modification of rRNA in the nucleolus. There are two main classes of snoRNAs: the box C/D class, and the box H/ACA class. Lineage: Eukaryota; Metazoa; Chordata; Mammalia; Primates; Cercopithecidae. The record is from Rfam by way of RNAcentral.
AAGACUCUACUUUCAGGGCUCAUUUCUAUCAUGCAAUACUAGAGAAGUUUCUCUGAAUGUUCAGAGCACUGGAAACCAAACGGAGGAGGCAGGCAUUCUUUCUGGAGCAUGUAGCCAGCUCAUAGUGUUGUUUCGUUGCAGCUGCUGCUUGCCAUUGAUGAUCCUUCUUGUCUUCCUUAAGUGGAGUAAGAAGGAGAGGACACAGUCUUAGUGGU